AAUUGGGAAAAGUUUGCUUGGAUAUAUACAUUUAAAAAUUACACAUCAUUUAAAAUUAUGGUUAAUCUUAUAAAAAACAGAAUAAAUCUAAUGUAAGGAUUUCCCUGUUCAAGGAUAUUUGGAGGAAAAUAAGAAAAAGGGUCUAUGCCAAAAAUGAAUGUUUUCUCCACUAAUAUAUGGUCUGGAGUUCGAGUCUUAACCAAAGCUAAUCAUACCGAAGAAAAAUGGAAUAACGCUACAAUUGAUCACUCUUCCUCCUCUGAGAUAGAGAAAUGGCAUGAUGGCUUUGGAAGGCAUUGUAAUUAUUGAUUUUUUUUUUUUUCCAAAGAGAUUAUAGAAUUCAGCACAAAGCCUAGAAUACGGAAAAAUUCACCCAAAUCCUGCUAAUAAGCCCAUUGGCGAAGGCCCAAAGGCCACAGAACCAGAACCCUAGAGCUUGGUACCUGCUGAGGUCAAAGGAGCAGCGCCUUUAUCAUCUCUUCACAGUGCUGCUGCCUGCAUCGCCUGGUAAACAGGCCCCAGUGGGAAUGUAACAACUACCAGGAGCAAGGAAACCAAUAAGGACUCUACCACUGGAAGCAUGCAAGGCUAAGAACAACCAAAAAAGCAGAAACCCCAAUGUCAAAAACAUCACCCCAAUCUCUUGAAGGUUGAAGCCCGGAUCUUUCUCCAAAGGCUCUGAAAGAGAGAUAUGGCAGAGCUCUGGCAUCUAAUUCUUAUUUAGCCGUUGGGUCAGUGGCUUGCAUCAUCAAGUGCGGGUAUAGAACCCCGAGUUACCAUCUCCCUUUGCAACUCAUCAUGUCAAAUCUGCACCAUAACUCAACCAAAUAAAGCACUAAAACAGAAACGUAGAUCAUAAAAUCAAUCCUCAUCACAGCUCCACAGAUAUUUUACCAAAAGCCACAAAACCAAAUAUUUACAUCCUACCCGAAGGUAGGGAGGGAGAAACCAUGCCCCAGGCCUUUAGGGAAACCCUUCUUUGUCCGGAUGGGGUAAAAGAAAGCUGCAAACGCCGUAGAACUUGAAGGCCAGGAGCCUCAAAAACAAUAAGACAGAGAGGAAUUUCUCUCUCUAGAAAGCUAGAGAGAGAAACAAUUUGUUAUUCCACACCUUUUUGCAUUGUAAUUAAUGAUGAUGGGUGAGAUUCCCGUGAAUGCACCUUGCUAAGGCAACAUUACUCUGUAUUUUUUUCUCUAGGGCCAGAAAUUGAUCCAAACAUCCCAGUACUCGCAUGCCUUCCUUCAAUUUCUUGUAUACUUCAAGGCCUAGUAACGAAGUCCUCACCUUUAGUCACUCGGCUAGCUUUGGCAUAACAGAAGUUUAUACCCGUUUAUGGUGAAUCUAAGACAUAAAAUAUAAUAAAAUUCACUUACUAAAUUAAGUACAUAAUUUCGACCGUAUCUAGGCAAGAAUUUCAUGCGACCGUGAAUUUGAAUCAACAAAAAAACUAGUGCAUACUAAAAAUGGCAACAGCUGAUCUACUCAUGUGAUAAUAAAUCUGUUAUGCAUAUUUCAAAUGCUGAUGUAAUUAUGUCUAUCUAGAAAUCUAUUUCUUCACUUGGAAGAAAAAUACAUGGAACUUUGGAGGCUCCUCUUGUUAUUGGCACCACAUCAUGGUCACCACCGCAUCACUGCCAUCACCUCAAGCUUACUACACUGAAUCAGUAUGCUUUGAUUCCCCAAGUAUCAGAAUCCACAGAUUUAAUCUUCAUAUGAUCAUACACUCUAAGUUUGAAGAAGCAUCAACUAUCAACAAAUUUCCAAAG
RNAcentral lists this unclassified non-coding RNA (1766 nucleotides) under Hevea brasiliensis (rubber tree). Lineage: Eukaryota; Viridiplantae; Streptophyta; Magnoliopsida; Malpighiales; Euphorbiaceae. The record is from RNAcentral.